This 405-nucleotide ribosomal RNA is filed under the name uncultured bacterium. RNAcentral's name for it is "partial 16S ribosomal RNA". It matches the Rfam family "Bacterial small subunit ribosomal RNA", at positions 30 to 526 of the family's 1533-position model. The record is from RNAcentral.
AUUGAACGCUAGCGGCAUGCUUUACACAUGCAAGUCGAACGAGUGGCGGACGGGUGAGUAAUAUAUCGGAACGUACCAAGUAGCGGGGGAUAACUAGGCGAAAGAGGGGCUAAUACCGCAUAAUAUUGGAGCGGCCGAUGUCGGAUUAGCUGGUGGGCGGGGUAAAGGCUCACCAAGGCAACGCUCCGUAGCGGGUGUGAGAGGAUGAACAGCCACACUGGGACUGAGACACGGCCCAGACUCCUACGUGAGGCAGCAGUGGGGAAUUUUGGACAAUGGGGGAAAGCCUGAUCCAGCCAUGCCGCGUGUAUGAGAAGGCCUUAGGGUUGUAAAGGACUUUUGGCAGGGAAGCGGUACCUGCAGAAUAAGCACCGGCUAACUACGUGCCAGCAGCCGCGGUAAUAC